CCCGAGCCCUGGGGAAUCCAGAGGGUGACCGGCCCCAAAGCCAGGCCCUGAGAAGGCAGGGCCAGCGCCCCCCCCACGGUCCAGGAGACACACCCUGCCUCUGUUGUCCCCAGGUGCCCUUCCUGACCUGGGCCAUGACCUUGACAAGGUCACACAUACUGCUGGGCAAUCCUGCAGCAGGACCCAGGCUCUGGAGCCCUAGGAAGGCCAGCUGCCUUGGGUGGCCCUCCUGGGACUCACAGGUAACAGCCCAGGAAGUUGACACUGAGUUAAAGCAGGUAAGAGCCUACCACAUGGCCAACGAGAAUAACGGGAAUAACGGCAAGGGGUCUUGGCGCGGGCUACCGUGUGCCAGGCAGAGAGUAUCAUCUCACCCUCCCAAGGUACUAAGAGGAUUGGGGGUUUUUUGGGGGGAGGGGGGCUGGGAUGGAACCCAGGGCCUGAUGUACCUUAGGUAGGUGCUCCACCACUGAGCCUGGAUCCUUUUUAAAGGGUGAAAAUUGAGACUGUUUUGAACCCAAGGCUGUGUGACUCCCAAAUUCAGACUCUUGACAGCCUCUCUGAGCUCUGGCCCUAAACUCCUGUGUGACUUUUAGAAACUGACUCGACCUCUCUGGGCUUCUGCUUCUGGAUCUAAAAUGGAUAUGAUGGGCAGGGAAAGGAGGGCAGGAGUAUGGGAGGCAGAUUGAGGAAUUAUUCUUCCAGCUCAAGGCAGAGGGACACCCAGGAGGAGGGGCUGCCAAGGCCGGCUGAGGCUGAACCACUAAGGCCUUGAAUGGCCAGCUGGAGAGCAGGAAGUAUCUGUUGAGGCCAGGGCAGCCCUGGUGGGUUUGGCAGGGCUCGGCCACGGGCUGAGUGGGGUGCGCGAGGAGAAGGGGAGGUUGGGUGGUGGCCACGAGAGCACUAACACCACAGGCUCUCCCUACCUACAGUGACCUUGUGAAGCUGGGUUUGUGACUUACCUCUGCUCCCAGGGAGUCAGGGUGGGGGAGGGAGGGUCCCACCUAAGGUCACCCAAGGUCACCGCCCCCUGGGGAGCUGGGCCAGGCUGCAAACCCCCCCCCCCAAGGAACAUGCCCCCAGGCCCGCCCCAGCUGGGUCCUGGCCGGAAGGGACUUGGAACUUGCCCAGUUUUAAAACCAACUCCGUGUCCCUGAGUGAACCAGAAAGACGGGUCACCCUGGUGACAACCCAGAAAUUGGACAAAGGGACAAAGAGGUGGAGAGCUGGGACGGUGACAGGGAAAGUUUUUGGACCUGUCCAGUUGGGUUCCCAGGGAGCAGACCCGGCCAUUGCUUCAGGCCAGGUGACACCGCUGCCUCUAGGUGACAGUCCUGUCCCCCACAGGUUGAAGUGGACAUUGGAGACGCACGCGGAGGCGGGCAAGUGAAG
Molecule: long non-coding RNA, 1392 nt
Filed under: Marmota monax (woodchuck)
Lineage: Eukaryota; Metazoa; Chordata; Mammalia; Rodentia; Sciuridae
Source: RNAcentral